UACGUAGGGUGCGAGCGUUAAUCGGAAUUACUGGGCGUAAAGCGUGCGCAGGCGGUUCGUUGUGUCGGCGGUGAAAGCCCCGGGCUUAACCUGGGAAUGGCCGUUGAAACUGGCGAACUGGAGUGUGGCAGAGGGGGGUGGAAUUCCGCGUGUAGCGGUGAAAUGCGUAGAUAUCGGGAGGAACAUCGAUGGCGAAGGCAAUCACCUGGGCCUGAACUGACACUGAGACACGAAAGCGUGGGUAGCAAACAGG
Molecule: ribosomal RNA, 253 nt
Filed under: uncultured bacterium
Lineage: Bacteria
Description: partial 16S ribosomal RNA
Rfam family: Bacterial small subunit ribosomal RNA
Source: RNAcentral